Small nucleolar RNA from Lactuca sativa (garden lettuce), 108 nucleotides. The record is from RefSeq and is a predicted model, not a curated record. NCBI's taxonomy places the organism in Eukaryota, Viridiplantae, Streptophyta, Magnoliopsida, Asterales, Asteraceae.
AAAUCAUGAAGUGGGAAGUUCCUUAGUAAGCCUUUUGUAUCUCUCCCAUGCCUCAUAAAGUGAAUCUCCAACUUGUUGUUCAAAAUUGGCUAUGGCUUUCUUCAACUU